This 511-nucleotide ribosomal RNA is filed under the name uncultured bacterium. Its description in RNAcentral is "partial 16S ribosomal RNA". It matches the Rfam family "Bacterial small subunit ribosomal RNA", at positions 28 to 523 of the family's 1533-position model. The record is from RNAcentral.
GACGAACGCUGGCGGCGUGCCUAAUACAUGCAAGUAGAACGCUGAAGGAGGAGCUUACUUCUCUGGAUGAGUUGCGAACGGGUGAGUAACGCGUAGGUAACCUGCCUGGUAGCGGGGGAUAACUAUUGGAAACGAUAGCUAAUACCGCAUAAGAGUAGAUGUUGCAUGACAUCUACUUAAAAGGUGCAAUUGCACCACUACCAGAUGGACCUGCGUUGUAUUAGCUAGUUGGUGGGGUAACGGCUUACCAAGGCGACGAUACAUAGCCGACCUGAGAGGGUGAUCGGCCAAACUGGGACUGAGACACGGCCCAGACUCCUACGGGAGGCAGCAGUAGGGAAUCUUCGGCAAUGGACGGAAGUCUGACCGAGCAACGCCGCGUGAGUGAAGAAGGUUUUCGGAUCGUAAAGCUCUGUUGUAAGAGAAGAACGAGUGUGAGAGUGGAAAGUUCACACUGUGACGGUAUCUUACCAGAAAGGGACGGCUAACUACGUGCCAGCCGCCGCAGUAA